GCCUUAGUGGAUCAUGGCGAUCACCUCACUUUCAUCGUAAUGGGAUCAAUGAGUAUGAACAGUAACGGGGAGGAGGAGGUUCAAUUCCUCCCUAAGGCA
This is a non-coding RNA of Mycena epipterygia, 99 nucleotides long. The record is from the annotation of a GenBank genome assembly. NCBI's taxonomy places the organism in Eukaryota, Fungi, Basidiomycota, Agaricomycetes, Agaricales, Mycenaceae.